Molecule: ribosomal RNA, 253 nt
Filed under: uncultured bacterium
Lineage: Bacteria
Description: partial 16S ribosomal RNA
Rfam family: Bacterial small subunit ribosomal RNA
Source: RNAcentral
UACGUAGGGCGCAAGCGUUGUCCGGAAUUAUUGGGCGUAAAGAGCUCGUAGGCGGCCUGUUGCGUCCGCUGUGAAAUCCCGGGGCUCAACCCCGGGCCUGCAGUGGAUACGGGCUGGCUGGAGGCAGGCAGGGGAGAACGGAAUUCCUGGUGUAGCGGUGGAAUGCGCAGAUAUCAGGAGGAACACCGGUGGCGAAGGCGGGUCUCUGGGCCGUUACUGACGCUGAGGAGCGAAAGCGUGGGGAGCGAACAGG